UAGAGUUUGAUCAUGGCUCAGGAUGAACGCUGGCGGCGUGCUUAACACAUGCAAGUCGAACGGAUACAGUUUAGGCUGUAUUAGUGGCGGACGGGUGCGUAACACGUGGGUAACCUACCCUUGAGUGGGGAAUAAUCCUACGAAAGUGGGACUAAUACCGCAUAAAUCAGGGGAACCUGAUGAAAGCCUUCGGGUGCUUGGGGAUGGGCCUGCGGCGGAUUAGGUAGUUGGUGGGGUAAAGGCCUACCAAGCCGAUGAUCCGUAGGGGGCGUGAGAGCGUGGCCCCCCACACUGGCACUGAGAUACGGGCCAGACUCCUACGGGAGGCAGCAGUGAGGAAUAUUGCACAAUGGGCGGAAGCCUGAUGCAGCAACGCCGCGUGGGGGAAGAAGGCCUUCGGGUUGUAAACCUCUUUUCUGGGGGACGAGGAAGGACGGUACCCUGGGAAUAAGUCUCGGCUAACUACGUGCCAGCAGCCGCGGUAAAACGUAGGAGGCGAGCGUUAUCCGGAUUUACUGGGCGUAAAGGGCUCGCAGGCGGCUUAGUAAGUUAGACGUGAAAGCUCCUGGCUUAACUGGGAGAGGUCGUUUGAAACUGCUAGGCUUGAGGAUGGGAGAGGGGUGUAGAAUUCCCGGUGUAGUGGUGGAAUGCGUAGAUAUCGGGAGGAACACCAGUGGCGAAGGCGACGUCCUGGCCCGCACCUGACGCUGAGACGCGAAAGCGUGGGUAGCGAACGGGAUUAGAUACCCCGGUAGUCCACGCUGUAAACGGUGGGUACUAGGUGUUGGUGGCUAUCGUCAUCAGUGCCGUAGCUAACGCGUUAAGUACCCCGCCUGGGGACUACGGCCGCAAGGCUAAAACUCAAAGGAAUUGACGGGGGCCCGCACAAGCAGCGGAGCGUGUGGUUUAAUUCGAGGCAACACGAAGAACCUUACCUGGGCUUGACAUGCACGUAGUAGUGAAGCGAAAGCGGAUCGAUCCUUC
RNAcentral lists this ribosomal RNA (984 nucleotides) under uncultured bacterium. Its description in RNAcentral is "bacterial SSU rRNA". It matches the Rfam family "Bacterial small subunit ribosomal RNA", at positions 1 to 1021 of the family's 1533-position model. The record is from RNAcentral.